AGACAGCAGCUGUUGCGCCAGCUUCCUUGUACCUCACCUGCUGAAAAGCCAGCAGCUCCAACAGGAACUAGGCUCCGGCCGACUACACAGGUGAGCUGGGCUGGACUGCGGCCAAGGGCACCCUUCCCACCAACCUCUCCUUCCCACCGCCCUGCACCCAAAGCCAGGAAUUAGACUGCCAGAAAGAGGAAGGCGGCUCUGGGCCUCGGACACAGCCAUUGGGUAUCUCGAUGAUUCUGCUCUCUCCCUGGGCUGUGGCACACCCACACCAAUGAAUGGAGCCGUCGGCUCCCUGGAGUCACAGCCACACCCGCACAGUCCUAACUGCACCACCUCGGGGACUCUCUGCCUGCCUGCUUAACUGGAAUCUCAGCCCCUCGGGACAGAAUGAUAACUUUGAGGCUGAGGCGUCGGAUUCAAGAGACCACCCAGUUACCAGCUCUUCGAUUUCUGAGAUUUUCUUGAGUUCGUUUUGAUUUUUUUUUAACUUUCCCACCUCCCCGCCCCCUGGAUGGCCCCUCCGGUACCGCCUCCUCCCGAGGAGGAUGCAGCAUCCCACGCGCGCGAGCUCCGCAAUCACUCACAGAGGGUUCCAGCGCUCCGGGAGACGUCGGUGCAGCGAGAUGCGGUCGCUCAGGAUUCUACUGGAGAAACAGAACCAGGAAAAGAGAGACUAAGUCAUUCACGAUACAUCCACGAAGUGGGCCAUCGGGAAGGAUGGACUGAACUGCUGGGCGUCAGACAUCUGUGGUAGAGAAGCGAAUCCCUUCUUCUCCAAGGCAAGCCCGGCCUGGCUCAGGCUCACUCAGAGAGGCUGUAAGGCCUGGAGCUCCAACAGCUACCUUGAAUCCUGAGAUACAUCAAGCUGCCACUGAAGCAUGGACUUCCCUGGAUCUGGUGCGCUGACAUGUCGCGUGGUGACUUAGAAAAAAGAGCUUCCAAUUCUUGGUGACUUUCUUUUGAGCCAGCAGACUCCUCACUACUUCAGUCAAUAGAGCAUGGGAGAAGCUAAGCUCUGCAGGUCCCAGGCUGGUGAUAAGAGGCAAGGAAGCGUCUACUUUAUGACCUGGCAAGUCAUCCAUCUGCGCAGCUACUGCCAUUCCAGAGAGGCUGAGCCUCCUCCCUGCAGCCAGUGGCCCCAGACUUGUGGGCACCAGGCAAGCAUGUGAAGCAGCUGUUGCAGACAUGGCUCCUCCCUUCUUUCUCUGCAGACAUGGCUCCUCCCUUCUUUCUCUGCAGACAUGGCUCCUCCCUUCUUUCUCUGCAGACAUGGCUCCUCCCUUCUUUCUCUUAGCUCUGCAGUCACUCCAGCUUUCAAGUCUCAGCUGUGGCCAGGUCUCACCAGAGUCCUCAGCCAGAGGUCUUCCUCAAGGGAGUUCUCACAUACCAGGUCCUGACCCUCACACCAAGAGGUCCCAAGCAAGGACGGAGUGGUGGAGAAACAGGAAAGAAACCAAUUUCAGUGAACCGAUGCCAGAAGGGAUGAGGGCUCAUGCCCAAGGCCCUCUGUGUGAGAGACAGAGACUGUGUUUCUUUCUCAGUUGAGCUCUACUUUCGUUUGGGGGUCAUAAUACCUCAUUGAAUCUGAAGAUCACCAAAUUAGCUAGGCUGGUUUGGCCCAUAAGCCUCACAACCUCAAGGGCUGGGGUUGCGGAUUUAUACUACCUGGUCCAGUAUUAAAAUUUUGUUAUUGGGAGCUCA
Mesocricetus auratus (golden hamster) is the source of this 1701-nucleotide long non-coding RNA. RefSeq lists it as uncharacterized. The record is from RefSeq and is a predicted model, not a curated record. The transcript has 4 exons. NCBI's taxonomy places the organism in Eukaryota, Metazoa, Chordata, Mammalia, Rodentia, Cricetidae.